RNAcentral lists this ribosomal RNA (316 nucleotides) under Citrobacter braakii. RNAcentral describes it as "partial 23S ribosomal RNA". It matches the Rfam family "Bacterial large subunit ribosomal RNA", at positions 1 to 353 of the family's 2925-position model. RNAcentral also lists the same sequence under 1 other name. The record is from RNAcentral. Lineage: Bacteria; Pseudomonadati; Pseudomonadota; Gammaproteobacteria; Enterobacterales; Enterobacteriaceae.
GGUUAAGCGACUAAGCGUACACGGUGGAUGCCCUGGCAGUCAGAGGCGAUGAAGGACGUGCUAAUCUGCGAUAAGCGUCGGUAAGGUGAUAUGAACCGUUAUAACCGGCGAUUUCCGAAUGGGGAAACCCAGUGUGAUUCGUCACACUAUCAUUACGUGAAUACAUAGCGUAAUGAAGCGAACCGGGGGAACUGAAACAUCUAAGUACCCCGAGGAAAAGAAAUCAACCGAGAUUCCCCCAGUAGCGGCGAGCGAACGGGGAGCAGCCCAGAGUCUGAAUCAGCAUGUGUGGUAGUGGAACGGUCUGGAAAGUCCG